RNAcentral lists this transfer RNA (81 nucleotides) under Dierogekko kaalaensis. RNAcentral's name for it is "tRNA-Ala". The record is from RNAcentral. Lineage: Eukaryota; Metazoa; Chordata; Lepidosauria; Squamata; Diplodactylidae.
GAAGGCCUGUAUAACUUUAAUAUACAUCUCCUGAAUGCAACUCAAACACUUUAACUAAGCUAAKACCUUCUAUAUCGAUGG